UUGAAGGAUUUUAAGACUUCAAAUUACAUACUUGAAAGAUUUAAAGGCUUCAACUUGCAUACUUAAAGGAUUUGAAAACUUCAACU
This 86-nucleotide microRNA precursor is filed under the name Solanum tuberosum (potato). Its description in RNAcentral is "MIR8024 microRNA precursor family". It matches the Rfam family "MIR8024 microRNA precursor family". Lineage: Eukaryota; Viridiplantae; Streptophyta; Magnoliopsida; Solanales; Solanaceae. The record is from Rfam by way of RNAcentral.